CGGUACGUACUGGCAUUGUUGGUUUCUCCCUUCUGACGAACCAUGAUGUCAUUUAUUUGGUGUUGUGGGGAAUCAGGACUGUUACUUUGAAAAAAUUAGAGUGUUUAAAGCAGGCUCACGCUUGAAUACAUUAGCAUGGAAUAAUGAAAUAGGACGUUUGAUUCUAUUUUGUUGGUUUCUAGGAUCGACGUAAUGAUUAAUAGGGAUAGUUGGGGGCAUUAGUAUUCAAUUGUCAGAGGUGAAAUUCUUGGAUUUAUUGAAGACUAACUACUGCGAAAGCAUUUGCCAAGGAUGUUUUCAUUAAUCAAGAACGACAGUUAGGGGAUCAAAGACGAUCAGAUACCGUCGUAGUCUUAACCAUAAACUAUGCCGACUAGGGAUCGGAUGAUGUUAAUUUUUUAAUGACUCAUUCGGCGCCUUACG
RNAcentral lists this ribosomal RNA (423 nucleotides) under uncultured Glomeromycotina. Its description in RNAcentral is "SSU rRNA". It matches the Rfam family "Eukaryotic small subunit ribosomal RNA", at positions 671 to 1092 of the family's 1831-position model. The record is from RNAcentral. Lineage: Eukaryota; Fungi; Glomeromycota.